Molecule: unclassified non-coding RNA, 1137 nt
Filed under: Stylophora pistillata
Lineage: Eukaryota; Metazoa; Cnidaria; Anthozoa; Scleractinia; Pocilloporidae
Description: methyltransferase-like protein 22, transcript variant X3
Source: RNAcentral
CGGUUCGCCAUGACAGUUUUCGGCAACUACUACGGUAUGUAAGGCUACACGAAAGCUUGAAAGCCGGCUUGUUGCAUUUCAAGAUGGCCGCUGAAGAGGAGAUGAUUUCGUCAGAUGUGCAUCUUUUUACACCAUUUUUCCAAAUAGAGGAAAACAGCAAAGCAUUUACCAGGUUUACAAUAUACAAGUCCCCAGAGAAUACCUGUGCCAAUAAGAUGGAAGGGAGAAGUGAUUCCAUGGGUUGUUGUGAAACUGAUGAAGAUGGAGAUUUGUCACCUCCAAGAAAGUUCUCUGCAAGAGAUGACUGUGAAGUCAUUACAAUAGAACAUUCUCUUUCCACUGGGAUUAAAGAUGUAGGGCUACAGGUUUGGAGAGGGGCUCUCCUGUUAAGUGAUUUCUUGAUUUACAAUGAAGAAAGAUAUGAUGGAUGUUUUGGGUUGGAGCUUGGAGCAGGGCUUGGUUUAUGUAGCAUCAUAUUGGGAAGAGUGGCAAAGAGAAUAUUUUGCACAGAUGUGGGAGACACCAUUCUCGGCAACUGCAAAGCAAACAUAGCAGCUAAUUCUCAUCUUUUCAGAUAUGGCAGUGAAGCUGUUACAGUUCAUGAAUUGGACUGGGAGAAAAAAGGAUUACCCACUGAGAAUGAUCCUUUCUGUUGGACAAUGGAAGAUCAGAAAAUGUUUAAAGGCAUCUCUGUUGUGUUAGCGGCAGAUGUGAUUUACGAUGAUUCCUUAACUGAUGCUUUCAUUGAAACAGUCUUACAUCUUUUUGAACAAAAGCCAGACAUAGUCCUUUAUUUGACAAUGGAGAAGCGGAACUGUGGGAAAUUAAACCAACUUAACAUGAUGUUGAAAUGGAGUCUCUAAACAGCCACCAACCAAAGGAAGGCAUCUGAGCUUUGAACUGGUACAAGCUGAUGAUACCUUGCUACCUCAUGUCAAAGUCUGGGCACUCAAUUUGUGGUGUGAGCCAUGGCAGACAAGAGGAACAGUUUGCGAUCACACCUUUGUCCAAACAAAAUGUACUCUCUUUGCAUGUGUGGAGCCAGUGUAAGAAGAUUUUCCAUCAAUAAACUCGUGUAGGAACUCUGGGGGAAUUGGGGAAUUGAAUUAAACCAUCUUAAGCUGAUGUUGACGUAAA